UCGGGAGUCGUCCAGCGGCCAGGACAACUGACUCUGGAUCAGUAAACGGAGGUUCGAGUCCUCCCUCCCGAGCCA
RNAcentral lists this transfer RNA (75 nucleotides) under Myxococcales bacterium. RNAcentral's name for it is "tRNA-Gln". It matches the Rfam family "tRNA". Rfam says of the family: Transfer RNA (tRNA) molecules are approximately 80 nucleotides in length. Their secondary structure includes four short double-helical elements and three loops (D, anti-codon, and T loops). Further hydrogen bonds mediate the characteristic L-shaped molecular structure. tRNAs have two regions of fundamental functional importance: the anti-codon, which is responsible for specific mRNA codon recognition, and the 3' end, to which the tRNAs corresponding amino acid is attached (by aminoacyl-tRNA synthetases). tRNAs cope with the degeneracy of the genetic code in two manners: having more than one tRNA (with a specific anti-codon) for a particular amino acid; and 'wobble' base-pairing, i.e. permitting non-standard base-pairing at the 3rd anti-codon position. Lineage: Bacteria; Pseudomonadati; Myxococcota; Myxococcia; Myxococcales. The record is from RNAcentral.